CCUACGAGUGGCAGCAGUGGUGAAUAUUGGGCAAUGGGCGCAAGCCUGACCCAUCAACGCCGCGUGAAGGAAGAAGGCUUUCGGGUUGUAAACUUCUUUUCUCAGGGACGAAGCAAGUGACGGUACCUGAUGAAUAAGCCACGGCUCACUACGUGCCAGCAGCCGCGGUAAUACGUAGGUUGCAAGCGUUAGCCGGAUUUACUGGGUGUAAAGGGCGUGUAGGCGGGAAAGCAAGGCAGAUGUGAAAACCAUGGGCUCAACCUGUGGCCUGCAUUUGAAACUGUUUUUCUGGAGUACUGGAGAGGCAGACGGAAUUCCUAGUGUAGCGGUGAAAUGCGUAGAUAUUAGGAGGAAAAUCAGUGGCGAAGGCGACUAUCUGGCACAUAACUGACGCUGAGGAGCGAAAGCGUGGGUAGCAAACAGGAUUAGAUACCCGAGUAGUC
This 443-nucleotide ribosomal RNA is filed under the name uncultured bacterium. RNAcentral describes it as "partial 16S ribosomal RNA". It matches the Rfam family "Bacterial small subunit ribosomal RNA", at positions 338 to 795 of the family's 1533-position model. The record is from RNAcentral.